CAAAGUUAAUAAGGGCGCACGGUGGAUGCCUUGGCACUAAGAGCCGAUGAAGGACGUGACUAACGACGAUAUUCUAGGGGGAGCAGUAAGUACGCAUUGAUCCCUAGGUCUCCGAAUGGGGAAACCCAGCUGCUACUAGCAGUUAUUCAUGAGUGAAUACAUAGCUCAUGUAAAGGUAACGCAGAGAACUGAAACAUCUAAGUACCUGCAGGAAGAGAAAGUAAAAACGAUUUCGUAAGUAGCGGCGAGCGAACGCGAAGAAGGGCAAACCAAGAAGCUUGCUUCUUGGGGUUGUAGGACUGCAACGUGGACUUAAGCAUUAUAGUCGAAUAACCUGGGAAGGUUAAUCAAAGAGGGUAAUAAUCCCGUAGACGAAAUAGCGCUUAUACCUAGCAGUAUCCUGAGUAGGGCUGGACACGCGAAAUCCAGUUUGAAUCCGGGAGGACCAUCUCCCAACCCUAAAUACUCCUUAGUGACCGAUAGUGAACCAGUACCGUGAGGGAAAGGUGAAAAGAACCCCGAGAGGGGAGUGAAAUAGCACCUGAAACCGUGUGCCUACAAGAAGUUCGAGCCCGUUAAUGGGUGAGAGCGUGCCUUUUGUAGAAUGAACCGGCGAGUUACGUUAUGAUGCGAGGUUAAGUUGAAGAGACGGAGCCGUAGGGAAACCGAGUCUGAAUAGGGCGAAUUAGUAUCAUGACGUAGACCCGAAACCAUGUGACCUACCCAUGAGCAGGUUGAAGGUGCGGUAAGACGCACUGGAGGACCGAACCAGGGCACGUUGAAAAGUGCUUGGAUGACUUGUGGGUAGCGGAGAAAUUCCAAACGAACUUGGAGAUAGCUGGUUCUCUCCGAAAUAGCUUUAGGGCUAGCGUCGACAUUAAGAUUCUUGGAGGUAGAGCACUGUUUGGGUGAGGGGUCCAUCCCGGAUUACCAAUCUCAGAUAAACUCCGAAUGCCAAUGAAUUAUGGUCGGCAGUCAGACUGCGAGUGCUAAGAUCCGUAGUCGAAAGGGAAACAGCCCAGACCACCAGCUAAGGUCCCAAAAUAAUUGUUAAGUGGAAAAGGAUGUGGGGUUGCACAGACAACUAGGAUGUUAGCUUAGAAGCAGCUAUUCAUUCAAAGAGUGCGUAAUAGCUCACUAGUCGAGUGACCCUGCGCCGAAAAUGUACCGGGGCUAAAACAUAUUACCGAAGCUGUGGAUACCUUUAUAGGUAUGGUAGGAGAGCGUUCUAUGUGCGAAGAAGGUGUACAGUGAGGAGUGCUGGAGCGCAUAGAAGUGAGAAUGCCGGUAUGAGUAGCGAAAGACAGGUGAGAAUCCUGUCCACCGUAAGACUAAGGUUUCCAGGGGAAGGCUCGUCCGCCCUGGGUUAGUCGGGACCUAAGGAGAGACCGAAAGGUGUAUCCGAUGGACAACAGGUUGAUAUUCCUGUACUAGAGUAUGUAGUGAUGGAGGGACGCAGUAGGCUAACUAAAGCAGACGAUUGGAAGAGUCUGUCUAAGCAGUGAGGUGUGAUAUGAGUCAAAUGCUUAUAUCUAUAACAUUGAGCUGUGAUGGGGAGCGAAGUUUAGUAGCGAAGUUAGUGACGUCACACUGCCAAGAAAAGCUUCUAGCGUUUAAACAUACUCUACCCGUACCGCAAACCGACACAGGUAGUCGAGGCGAGUAGCCUCAGGUGAGCGAGAGAACUCUCGUUAAGGAACUCGGCAAAAUGACCCCGUAACUUCGGGAGAAGGGGUGCUGACUUUAAGUCAGCCGCAGUGAAUAGGCCCAAGCAACUGUUUAUCAAAAACACAGCUCUCUGCUAAACCGCAAGGUGAUGUAUAGGGGGUGACGCCUGCCCGGUGCUGGAAGGUUAAGAGGAGUGCUUAGACGUAAGUCGAAGGUAUGAAUUGAAGCCCCAGUAAACGGCGGCCGUAACUAUAACGGUCCUAAGGUAGCGAAAUUCCUUGUCGGGUAAGUUCCGACCCGCACGAAAGGCGUAAUGAUUUGGGCACUGUCUCAACGAGAGACUCGGUGA
RNAcentral lists this ribosomal RNA (2017 nucleotides) under human gut metagenome. RNAcentral's name for it is "bacterial LSU rRNA". It matches the Rfam family "Bacterial large subunit ribosomal RNA", at positions 1 to 2039 of the family's 2925-position model. The record is from RNAcentral.